AGCCGGCGUUAGAGCGGAUGUUCUCAGUGUUUAGCUUUGGAGUAUUGAAACCAGCACGAGCAGCGAUUCUUUCUCUCAAACCACCUCUUGAAACGUUGUUGUUCUGUGAGGAAUCAUUGUUAUUAUCAUUAUUGCCAGUAGUGUCUUCUUGUAAACCAGUGACUUGACCAUGAUUCAAAGAGAGCUCUCUUUCGAGAACACGUUUAGAGUAGGGUUGCAAGGAACCCAUUCUCCCAUUACAGCAACGUUUUCAUCAAAACCAGACAUUUAAGAUCCGAGAAGUUGACUGAGUCUUUGCUUAAACUGUGAUGAAACUCCUGAAAAGAAGAGUAAAAGGCAGUCACAAUCAGAAUCAGAAUCUUCUGAAGACAUGAGCAUAAUAAAACUAUUAAACAAUAUUAAUCUAGCUAAGUAACACAAAAAGAUGACUUGAGACAAUUAUAACUGAACUAGUGAGCGUAAAAACACAAAUAGAAAAAAAAAGAAUUUUAAAGUUCAAACCUUUUCUCGGAGUCGACAAAAAUAAAUCAUAGACAAAACAAAAAAAAUGUUAUAAGAAGAACAACAAGAUCUUUUUCUCUUUCACACGUUAAUCAACUUUUAUGGAAUUGAAAUAUUUGAUUUUACGAUAAUAACGAAAUUAGAUCGAGAAAUAUUUGGAAAUGAAUCAUUAGCAGAAAGAAGUGAUCGAAUCACGGAGGUUAAAAAGAGGAAACAAAAAAACAAUAAGACAACGUCAAGUUAUAGAUUAAACCAGACGGUAAGCAAAAAAACACAAGAUGUGAUUAAACAAAUCAUGUCUUUUUUAACAAAUCCUGAAUUUAAGUUAAAGAUUAAAAAAAAAACAUUUUAAACGUAUGAAAGGAUUAAAUCACAAAAAAAAAAACGGAAAAAGGAAAAUCGAUGGAGACAA
Long non-coding RNA from Brassica rapa (field mustard), 913 nucleotides. RefSeq lists it as uncharacterized. The record is from RefSeq and is a predicted model, not a curated record. Lineage: Eukaryota; Viridiplantae; Streptophyta; Magnoliopsida; Brassicales; Brassicaceae.